This is a long non-coding RNA of Lolium perenne, 12716 nucleotides long. RefSeq lists it as uncharacterized. NCBI's taxonomy places the organism in Eukaryota, Viridiplantae, Streptophyta, Magnoliopsida, Poales, Poaceae. The record is from RefSeq and is a predicted model, not a curated record.
AAACCCAUUAUUUAAACAACAAAAUAUUCAUUACUUCUAUCAAUUUAAGUGUGGUAAUAAAAUUAUUAACACCACCGUAUUGAACGAUCGGCGCGGCGUGCUGCCGCGCUCAUUCCUGCUAGUAUAUAUCUACUAUAUUAAAGGGCAACCAACUUCUUUUUUCUCAUAAUUUUGGUUCUUUUUUGGGAUUAACAGCUGGUUGACACGUACCUGAUUUUGUGGUUAAUUUCCACUGACAUUUUCUUGUGUACACUUGAGGCAUCCUCUUGCAUUUUUGUUUUUACUUUCACUUGUUCUGAUCUGGGCUUUCUUUUGUUAUGGGUGGAUGUACCAUUUUAGUGGACUGCUUUGACUCUUUCUAGACAGAUCCUCCAUGCGUACAGCCCCUCGAUUCUCCCCGUGCUCUCUCUUUCCUCCACCGCCCCAUCGUAUCCAGGCCAGGGCUGGUGCCCUCCGCCCCAUCUCUUCUUCCUCCUUCGGCGGCCCUCCGGCGGGGUACGUCACCGUCGCCUUCUUCUGGGUUGCCUCCCGGCUUGAUCUGCUUGGCGGGGAGGAUGCGGCGCUUCUGAGCGGCUCAGCGGAGCUUGGGGAUGCCGGCACCCAUAGCGAUUUCCGGACGGAGAAGGCCAGCAGCCGGUCGAGAACCUCCACCCUUCCCCCAGCCUGAGCCCCCUACCUCGGCAUGUUCCCCGCCCUGAUCUCCUCUGUCGAUCUCCCAUGUGGCCGCCACUCCCUCAGCGGUGGUUGAUUUCGAGGGAAACAACGCGAUGUGUAGGAGGCCAAAGAUGGUGCGGUCACGCUGGCAAACGAGGCUACUAGGAUUGCCUCGGGGGUCGCACACAAGAGCGGAACGGCAUGGCAUCGUGGAGGAUUCGGCGGAGGAGACCGAUACGGUGACGUGCCGUCGUGCAGCAACAUGGGAGGAGGUCAGAGGUGGCUGGAAUCGUGGUGAAGGCGUCGGCAUUUUGUUCGUGAAACAGAGAGAGGCUAAAGUCUCCGCGCCUCUAGCCCACAGAGCCGCACUCCCGCGUUUAGCGGCGAUGGAUUACGGGCGCUCGACGCCGGCAACUCAAGGGUACAAGCAGAGGCGAUGAUGAUCUUAGGUUGCAGCGAUGGGGGUUACACGCAUGCGACGGCGAUGACGAAAGGCACAGGAAGCAUCGUCUGAGUAGGUGUGUGGUGGCGCAUGGCCCUUGGGCGAGUUGCUGCUUGCUGGUCGACCGUGGAGUAUGGAAACAACGCAUGUAGUUUAAGAACUAGCCUAAUCUCUUUUUCCAUGUGCAGCGACCACAGCUUCAGGUUCAGACAAUAUUCACGACAGUCCUGUAGCUUGGAUUGGAGCGACCAAUUUGUCAUACAGAAGUGCAAAGGAUGGAAAUAAGCAUACUGCAUCUUAUGUUAUAUUGGCAGCAUCUCGGCUUUAUACUUAAUCUCUUCAAUUAGUGUUAUGUUAGGUUUCCAUAAUGCCGCAAAAAGAAAAGAAAGAGGGUCUGCUGCCAUGCAUGCCAGGCUAUUAGAUUGUUAGAAUAUUCCUCUCAACAAAAAAAUUGAUGCAAAUAUUUCAUGGUUAAUUUAAUCUGCACGUCCAAGAUGGAUUCAUUUUUCAUUUUGGGGCUGAAUACUGGAACGUGUAUAGUGCCGGAAACCAUCAGCCUUUUAGCUCCAAGCCCUCUUUACAAAAUAUAUGCAAAUUCAGUAAAGUGGACAAUCUAACUCAGGCUUUUGAAAACAGUAACUGGCCUAGAUCCGGUUUCUCGACCUUCUCACAUGCUUAUUCCAUAAAAUGGUGUUCAGUUUCUUGAAUUCACUUGCUCUCAAUAAUUCAGUGUACAUAGUACAUAUACUGUCUGUAAUGCUACAGUACUUAUGAUGUCAAGCUUGUGUUACAGAUCGUCUAGACUUUGUUACUUGAUUGGAUAGUUGAAUGCAGAUUCAUAUAUGUUAUUUGAUUUAUGUCAAACUAUCAUGAAGUACUAUUAUGACAACCACCAGUAUAUGCCCUUUUCCCGGACUUGACAGUUUGAUGCUCUGCUGCAUCCUGUUGUAAUAUCAAGUCUCCCCCUCUGCUUUUGACAUGUUGGAUUUUUAUCAGCAAAAAACAGGUUUCUAAAAAUGUGUUUACCAUCAAAUAAAGAACUGUUGAAAUGGCUCUUCUAACAAACAUUCUUGUUUAUUGUAUGUUGGUUAGAUAUUCUGUCAAUGAAGAACCAACAAAGCCUGGGGCAUGUUACAUUGGUACCCAAUAACCAUUAGAUUACAUCGCACCGGAUACAUGACUUCAAUGAAAAGAUGCUAAGGCAUAGUAUUUGCAGGUCAUUAAUUCAAUCUUAUUUCUCAAGUAAAUGAGAGAAGCAUUUCCUCUUUUGUCUUCCUUUUUUAACUUACGUAGUCACAAAUUCAUUGAAGUUGGCAUCAUUCACUGCCUUCUCUGUCCAGAAAUAAGCUGGAGCCAAAUAUUUCACUAAAUAGGAACAUAUUGAUCAGUGUUUCCAUCUUAAAAUUGUUUUUUCCCAAAUUUAACUGUAGUAAAGUAUUAAUUUUAUGUGGCUCCCCAAAAGGAAACUUAGUAACCAGUCACAAAUUAUAGAUAGACAUACAUGUGAAUCAUCCCGACUGUACACCUUCAGGACUUGGAUUUUUCUUUUGCUGCGAACACUCAGGCUUCGGCUUAAGGAUGCGCUUACUAAUUUGCAUCGACAACAGGUUAUUCUAGCGGUAGAUUAGUUGAGUUCAUAUUUUUCGACUUAGGAUUUGCAGCGCACCAAGAGAUGCUAUCGUCAGCAUUCAUCUCCUUCACACAAUUUCUUAACGAAGUACAUGAAGGUGUUUGCUUCCUUAAAAUGUUGGUGUGUUCCUUUUGUUCGGUUACACUUUCUGUUGAUCAACUAGCACAUUCAGCUAACAUUGUGUUCCAAGGUAUUCUUACAGAACGUUGGCUUGCCGCGUGCCCAGUUAUUUGUUGGUCUUCAGUUAGCUUUAGCCGUCAUGGUUGCUUUUGCUUUGACAAACUCCUGGCUACUACUCAGUUAAAGGGGUGAGGUUAGUAACAUUGGAUAAUGGAACGUCUCCAUAAAAGAUAGGGCAUCUUUGUUAUUUACUUGAAGUUUUUAUCAGGGUGCUUUAGCAGAAAGCUACGUUUUUCUUUUUAUUAUGAUUUUAUGAGCCUAUCGCGUGGGGUGAGGCUUCCUCUGGUUAGUAAUGCUAAACAAUGGGAAGCCUCAGUGUAAAUACAAGUUAUAAUGCAUCUUUCUUAUUUAUUUGAAGCUCCAUUAGUGUGCUUUAGCAAACGCAACAUUUUACUUUCUAUUAUGGUUUUUUGAGCCACUCCCAUAGUGCUGUGACUUUUGUACAACCAUUGUACCUUUUGUUUUUUGUUUAUGGACUAGCCAUUUUGAUAGGCAUCGCACGUUUUGUGCAAAGUUAGUUUUUCAACCUCAGUUUGUAGGUUGCAUAUUCUGUUUCUUUUAAAAUAAUUAUAACUGAGUUAUGUAUUUUCAUUUUAUUUUUAUACACCACAAAUUAUUUUGUAUUACAACAAUAUGAAACAGAGAUAACAACUGAAUCAACCCCAUUUGCUAUUUCACUUGCAAGAUACCUACACUCUGUUGGUGCAGAGAUGUAUGGAGCAUUUUGGUGUUCCCAUUACAAUGAGCAAAAACUGGUACAAACUCUUUCAUCUUCCUAAUUUCAUUGCUUAUGUGCUGAGCAAAAUCUCCCAAAACGAAGUUGAACAUGGAAGGUUCUGGUGUAUGUUGCUCGAAUAUGGGAGUCUAAGGAUCGGCAAACAAAGCAGAUUUUGUAUGAGCUAGACUUUAUUGUUCACGAGUUACUGUUUUAUGAUCUGAAACAUUAUGUUGAACUGUCUUGCUCCAUGCACGCCAUCUCCUAUGUUGUUUUUCUUCUUUUUUUUGUCCCUGGUUAUUUUAGAACGUUACCUUCCUGGACGAAGAUAAACUGAUUCUUCUAUUUUAGAAUUUCCUUCCUUUGUAUGAUUUGUUUGACCUUGCGACUCCACAACAGUGAGUAAUUUCCGUCUGUACUGAUUAUAAGUAUGCAUAAUCUUCGUAACUAUACUUUACUUGCAUUUUGUAUUAAAGAUCAAUGGAUGCUCCUAUAUCUGAACUUUACUUUUUGCAUAAAAAAUAUUUGUUAUGCCACCACACUUAAACUCAUAUUUCUUGCAAUAUAUAAAAUAUUUUACCUUGUAACCUCACCAAGUAAUAAUUUUCAUGCAAACCAAUUCGUGAAUUUACAUGAUCUCCUGAAUUAUAUUUUGCAUACGCUUUCUACAAGCCAGCAUGGAAACCUCCUGAACUAUCUUUUGCAUCGUUUUAUAUUAAUCGGAGUGGAUGAUCCCAGAAAAUAAUAAUUUUCGUAUGUACUAAUUCAUAAGGAAUGUGUAGGCCUUGUGAACUGUGUUUGCAUACGCUUUAUAUCAGUCAUAUUGGAUGAGGAGUCUUUAUUUACUAAUCUAUCAAUUAGUAUAUUGCACUAAAUUAUAUAUCAUAUACAUUGUCUCCCGUAUAAUUUCUUUCUUUCUUUAUGUUCGAUAAUCUUAAAAUGGUGAUACCAUGCCCUGUAACACACCUCCCUUGUGAGUUGUGACCUUGUAAAACUAUCCUUCUUUGCAAUGAAAUGAAACGCAAUGUCUUUGCGUUUUCUCAAAAAAAAAAGAUAAUCUUAAAAUGGUUCAGGAAAGUGGAUAAGGUAUUUGAAUGUUCUUGUUCUUUUUUUCUUUUUUAGACAGUUAAUAUUAGAAAGAUGCUUCCUAGCUAUUUAGAUGAGUUUCUGAAGUCAAUUACUUAUUCCGCAUUGUGAACACAAUUUAUUCCUUAGAUUGACGUGGAGGUUCAGCAAAAAGUUACGCAAGGUCCCCACGCAGAUGUUUCCCAAGGCUAAAAUACAGUUUCAUACACAGUUUUUGGUAGGUUCAAGAAGCUCAAUCAAUGGAAGGAAACUGUUAUAUGAUGUGUACAUUUUUUUUAUAGCUGCAGGCUGUGAUUGAGGUACAGCACAAUCUUUUCGCAUACUUGGCAAUGUUGCUUCUCCACUUUCCUAGGAUUCAGCUAUGUUGUUGUGUCGUUGUGUCUCAGGAUGCAAAUAUAGAGAGUAAGAACACUUCCAGGUCAUGAUAGGAUAACAACUACAAAUUUGUGAGAUCCAAAGUACAUCAACUACUUAUUCAGCUAGCAUUCAGUUAACUUGCGUGUUAGUAUUCAGUUAGCUUAAAUUCAAUUGCCAUCAGAUACAUAUUAGUGCAUUAUUUGGUUAUUAUUCAGAUAACACACACCUUACACUUUUAUCUUCGAGCCAUAUCUAAAUAUAAUCAUUUAGCCUACAGUUUGUGCCUGAUCAUUCGUUUGCCCGGCUGCUGCUUUGUUGGUGUCUCUUCUGUGCUUACUCCUUCGCCUGCCGCUCGGGAUGCUGCUUCUUCAUUUGUUGCUUUGUCUGAUGUGGAUGCUCACGGGCGAGAUAUUCCGCCUGGCAAGCAGACGGUCGGCUGUUCUGAAUGUACUCUUUUUUCUGCAUGAUUCAGUGACUCUGCUUUUUUCUCUUGACUUUGUUUAGUGACUUCGAUGCAGAUCAUUUGGAGCAUGUCCUUCUUCUUGGCGCCUUUGAUUUAUUCGUCAAGGAAAGAUCAGGGACAAUACUAAAUAAACAGUGAUAAGACUUAUGUCUUCCUGUUAAGGAGUUUGUGGAGCGGGAGUUAUCCCCGACUUGAAAACAUCACAAUAUGGUAUCAACGUGAAGCAACUACUCAAAGCUAGCCUUAAAGGGGGAUAUUUCUCAUGAAAUAAACUCAUUUGUGUACAUAUUCUAGGCAACACAGGUGAUGAUUCUAAGGAGAAAAAUAUAAAAAAAAUUAAACGCUAAUUGGUUUUGUUGCUAUCCAAAUCCAAAAGUAUUCAAGUAUCGUAGAGUUUCUUAUUUCUCUUUAAAUUUGUGUUCCUAAUAUCAUCUCUUUUUGAUACUGCCAGUCACACAUCAUAAUUGUAGGCAAUAUCUUGCCGGCGCGAGUGUCGCCGCGCCACUCUUUCCUAUAAAAGCAAGGGGGGAAACAGAGUUGGAGCAUACUUGCCAAAGACUGUAAUCUCUCAUGACAGUUCUAUGUUGCCAUCUCAAGAAUAACAUCAAGGAAAUUAAGGUUUAAAAAUACUUGCAGUAGCUGAAAACGGUGGGCCAACUAAGGGCCGGACCUAGCCAAAAGUUUUUGUGGGGGUCACUCAGUUGAGUGGGGGUAUUUGUGAUACAAUUACACUGUUUUUGAAUUUUUCCAUUGAAGUAUGAAGAAAUUUCACUAAAAUUAAAAUUUUGAGUGGGCGACAAGGGCAUUAUAUUUCAAGAGGUGCUUGCCACCUAUAAUGAUUGCUACUUCGUUCUUAUUUGCCUUUUGUCUCCUAGCCGUGCUUACAACUUUGAAAUUGCUAUUUCUCUUUCAGCAACAAGAACAUUAGCCUGAAGCUAGACCUACCAUUCUCUAUCAUCUAUGAUCUAUGCAUGUAAAAGUAAUUUUAGUUAUCCUGCCUACAUUUAUCUUUAUGCAAGUAAUAUCAAUUAUUGAAAGGAUAGCUGAUAUCAAUGUAUAAGGUCAAUUAUAUGCCUAAGCUUCUAUAUAUGUACAAUAUUUUAAACCUGUUAGUACACCAGAGAAGGAUAAAGCUAGCAAGGAGAAGUUACAGAAAAUUAAGGAUAUUUUAAAUGAGUAAGGGUACCUUAUAGUAUGCUAAGCAUAACACAUGGUUUCACAUACCAGAUUAUAUAAACAUGUGUGCAUAUUUCUGAAACAAUUAUUCUAUUAUUAUGGACUAUGUACUCAUCUAAAUGCGUGUUCAUGUCGAACCAUGAUCACUUUAGAGCUACUUCAAUGAACCAGCUGCUAUUGUUUGUAUUAUCUUAUGGGUGGCUCUGGUUUCAACCAUCUUAAAACCCACUAUUUAAACAAGAAAAUAUGCAUUACUUCUAUCAAUUUAAAUGAUCUUAUAAUUAUUACAACCAUUAUAUUACAAAGUCUGCGCGGCGUGCCGACGCGCCCAUCCAUGCUAGUACUAUAUUAAAGGGCAACUAACAUCAUUUUUCUCAUAAUUUUGAGCCUUUUAAGGAGUUAACCUCGUGGGGACACGUGUUGUUUCACAUGGUUUGUUUUGAGCUGGUUAUCUUCUGUGUAGCAUUUGGUGCUCAGUAACAUUUUUGGCUUCAGUAGUUCAGUGAUGGAUUGGCUUGGUGUUUUCUCAUAGUGUGGGCGUAGCCAUUAUUUAGUUGGGACAAAGUGGGCACGAUCUAUCUGGUGUUGCUGCCACACCGCUUUGACUGUUUUUUAUCCUAUCUCUGCCUCUGGAACUCACCCGAAAACUCAGUCUCCUCUUUCUUCCCCAAUUUUCUUCACGCACGGCGAGUCCCCGCCGAUCCCCCGAUGAGCUUCUCCGGCGAACCGCCGCCGUGGUCCACCCUCGGCGCGCCUACUGUGCUCCCCUGCCCCACUUUGCUGCCCUGCUCCUCCUCCACCACGCGAACCAUCAAGCUCCGGAGGGCUAUCGCCGCCGCGCGCCCGGAGGGCUGCUGCCGCCAUGACCCGGUGGCGAGGCAGAGUAGACGUCGGGGCGAAGCUCCGAAGAUCGUAUUUUUCAAGAUUCGGGCGCGCUGUAGGAGGUCGAGCGGCGGGCGGAUAUCUGGAGGGCAGAGAUGGGAUGCAUUAUUCAAAAGAGGAGGAGGUGGAGGCCAAAGCGGAAAAUCGCUUCCUGGACCUCUUCCACCAUUCUCUGGUGCGGCGCCAACAAGGUCGUCCUCGACAGUCGUGAUCCCGACAGGGCAGCAGUUGCCUCCUCCCUCGGACUGUUCUCGACGCCCUUCAUGUGCAUAUGGCCGCACUCUGCUGGGAACCCGGUUCAACGUACGUUGUUUCUCCGCUUUCUUGUUGUUUACUUCUUUUCCCUAUAGUGAUUUGCUGAUGUUGCUUGUAGUCAGAGCGAUGUACCUCGGGGCCGGGUCGCCGCCUGCAGGAGUGGUGCAUGUCGGAUUGUCGGGUAGACGUACCACCAGGAUGGGGUUGAGGGGCUGCUGGAGGCGGUUGACUUGGAGGGAGAAACGAGCAAUGGUUUGCGGCUUAAGUCAUCGCUGUGGUGUAUGCUCUACCCCCCUGAACUAACUCAGUUAGGUUUUGUCAGAAGUGGAUGCAAUCCAGCAGGGGUUUGGAGUCCCACAAGCAGGGUCUCGGAAGCGGUCCAGAAAGGACUGACCAAUGAGGACAGCCAAAAUGAUAUAGUAGGAGGCUAUUUAUGGAAGGUGCUUCGCUAAAUUCGAUGUUCCAACCUACUGUAAUACUACUUUCCAGUGUGGUUGUGAUAUGAUGCAUUCCACACAAACCAGCUUUUUUUUUUGGAAACCAGUUUCCUCCGACUGGAGCCACCAUGCCAUUCCACACAAACAUCUGAAGCUGGAGUGUGUCAAGUCCUCUGCGGUGCAAAGCAGGAUGUGUCACUGUGGAUGUCCCCAAUUGGACAGCAAGUAAGAGGAUGUCAAAAUAUGGCAACCCUGUAGCACAUAUUUCAGUUUUUAGUGUUAGCUAGAUUAAACCUUAAGUGUGCAAUUUGAUCUGCUCAGUUCCCUACAUUAAAUACCUUUGAUAUAUGGAUGAUUUAUAAGUGCCCAUCAUUUACCUGUUUUGAGCAUGUAUUAGAGGUAUAUUUUCUUUCGAAGACCAGUCCUGAGGGUAUGUUACUACUUUGUUAGAUGCUUUUUACUGAGCAGAGUAGACGUUAAUUUCAGGGAAGUCUAAUGGUAGAUAUUUUAUGUUUGUUAACAAAAAAAAACUUGCAUAGAGAGGGGCACACACUACCAUCAAAUUAGUUUUCUUCAGAUCGACCUCAUUGGACGGAUAUAUUAUGUGUGAAAUUUGGCACUUUGGUGGUGGAUAGUCUAUCACCAUAGUCUUAUUUUCUUUUCUUACCUUGGCAAGCUAAAGAUUAUUUUUCCUUUGAGACAAACAUUAAAUUUUGAGGCAUCCAUGAUCUGGCCCUGUGCUUCGAGCUCACGAGCUUGUGGUGUUCGAAUGUUGGUGCCCGACAGUCUACAGAGCCGCUAAUGAACUACCAGGACAUAUCUGCCAGUAAUACAGGAGCGUGAUGUUAGUACUGGAUUGUGUGGCCUUCAAAGUUUCCUCUAUAAUGUCUCCACAAAGGAUUAUAGAUGUUGACUAUUUUUUUAAACUGAGGUAAAUCAAUCCCCUUCUAAGUUCUUCUCUACUUUCCUUCUUCCCGUAGCAAUUUCUGUACAUUUAUGUAUUUCAAGUGUGUAGAUAAUUUGUGUUUUUUUCCUUCUUCCACUAUUUCUAAUCAUAUAUGAGUCCCUGUUAAAAAAAAAAGAUCUGCAAUAAGUGCCAUUUUCGAUCUCUUCUGCUCUAUCCAUGUGAUUGCAGCAGGUAGAUCCAUGGUCCUGAAUGUUAGCUUAUUCCUUAAUGGCCAUACACCAAACUUCUCCGAUUUUGUUAUUUUAGCUUUCUUCGUCAACAAUUAGGUUACUUUAUAUUUCUGAAUUGUGAUCAGAUCUUUGUAAUACAUGGGACUGUACAAUUUUCUAGCAAAUAUUAUUUUCUCUUUGUACCCAUUUAAUGCUAGAGAGUUACUUCCUGGAGGGUUUCUUCCAAAUUGAUUGUUAAAAUUUUCACAUUAAGAACUCAUUGACCUAUUUUUCUGAACAUUAAAUUGCUGUCAUCUUUCCACUGAUGUUUUGAAGCUUAUAGGUAUUUCUCCUGCAAGUUUGUCUUACUUUUCUAUAGAAAACCUCCAUAUUAUGUUCACCUUCCGGUUCAGAAGUUGCCCGUCCAUAGUUCAGCACACCCUCCUGGCCCCACUCUGCCGCGGUGACCAAUUAUUAUGUGUCAUGUUAAGUUGUUGCCACUGGAAGAACAAGCAAAUAUGAUUAUUUCCUAACUGUGAUAAUUGCAUGUGUAAGUCCUUUGUUUAAUUCUAAAUAAGAUUCUUCAGUUGCUAAUUUCUUUUAGGAUAAAUCCCACAAACCGGACAUAUCCAUUGUGUCUGGUUAAGAAAAGACUGGGAGCAUAUGAUUUGUUCUGUUUAUUGGAUGUUGAAUAUGAAACUCUCAAACCUUCGUGGAUCUUGCUGCCUGUAGGAACAUUCCAUGUUUUCUCAGCUAAAAUAUAGCCAGUGGCACAUAAGAGGUUAGAUUUUGUUUUUACUUGAAUUUAUGUUCGCUUUGUAAUCCCAAUUUUUCUUUCUAAUUGGCAUCUGAUAGUGUGCGUACGGUUCGAUGUAGGUAUAAUGUUGACAUUUGCAAAUGCACUGCUAGAAAAUUUAACAAAAUAUAUGUGAAAUAUGCCAAUGAUUCUCUAUUCGCAGGUUAGGCACUCAUGAUGCAUACUCAUGUGGUUUAUUAUGCCUUCAAAGAGCCUCCGUGAAACCUGGUCUGUUAGAUGCAUAUUAGAGAAUACCAGAGAUAAUUGUUUUGUUGCAAUUGAUUUCUAUCUGGUGUUCUGCCUUUGUUUAGAUUCCUUUUGUGUGCUGGUAGUGUGAUUUCUGCGGACUACUCAGAUGUUCCUUCUGUUGGUGGAUACAAUUACUAGAUUGCAUAUGUUCGGUUUGUGAGCUGACUAAAUAUUUACUUUCAGAUUUUUUGACAGUAUGAACACAUCAGCGUGUAUGCUCUUAUGCCAAUUCAUAUCUUCACUGAUUUGUAUUACUAAGAGUGGAGAAGCUACAUCAUCCAGUGUGUAUCAGCCUGCCAAUGGCUUCCCCGAAUUAAACACUUUCAGUGGUACUAUUACAGUUUGUAGUUUGAGGAUAUAAACUGAGCAGGUAAUCCUUUAGUUCAGCCUUGCUUUAGUGAAUAUUUAUCAUAUUACAGUUAUAAAUCCUUGCGUUCCAGCUGAUCAGAGCAUAUAUAGGUAUGAAGGUGUACAUCGACAUUACUAUGUAAACUCAGUUCCUCCAUUAGUAGAAUUUAUUACUUUCUUAUAAGAGAUAAUAGGCAAUAUUAUGUACGAUUUCUCAACCUGAUGAGCUACUUUAAGGUGUUUACAUACAAAAUGAUACAUGCCAUGUCAAAUCUUCCGAGAAAUUGUAACUUAGCUAUAAUUUAGUUCGACCUUCAUAUUUUAUCUAUGAUAUAUUUAUUUUCAAAAAUGUGUUCUAAUGAUUAAUUCCCUAAAAAUUAUCUCUAUGAUUUGCACUUUAACAAGUCAAAGGGAAGUCGGGAACCGUCGAAGGCCCUAUUGAUAUUCAGCAGUUCAGUACAAGGCCUGUUUGAAUCAAAGGAUUGAACAGAGAGUGGAUGAUUGAAAUACUUAGAAUAUUUUCUGAUGGGAGUUGUUUGAUUUAUCACUUAUUUUCCCACGGGAUUUAUCACACAUUUAUUAAAUGAAUUCCAUUUACUCAAAACCUAUUUGAAAUAAUAUAAUACUUAUCCUAUGGCUCAAUAGAAUAACUAAUUUAGUCAUGUCUAAUUUCAGUGGGAGUGACAUUGCAAUUAUACCUUUGGCACAUUUUUGGAAUAUUCAAAAGCGGGUCCCAUGGUUGCAUAAAAUUGAUACAAACAAUGUUCUGUUCAUGUUUUGAGUAUUGAUCACGUGUGCUUAUGUUGGCAGCAGUGUACAGUCUAUAUAAUAAUUACUAAUAAUAGCAUGCAUAUUGUCUUAUACCAGUAAAAUAUUUAUUAUCAUGGUGACUAGCUUUAUUUAGACGUGCUGACCACACUAGGUAGUCCUCAAGUUCUAAUUUUCAUUCUCACUGACAAACCAUUCUCCCACAUUCCGGUAUUUGAAAAUGCAUUAUGAUACAACUUUCAACCGUGGGCCCACAACCAAGUCCUAACAUACUUCAACUUUAUAGAUCUGUUGUUUCAAAUUAACAUGAAAUAAUUAAUAAUUUUUGGGCUACAUUUCUCCUUCAUUUUGUUGCAUGCUUACUAAACAUUGCAAUUAUGCCUACGGUACAUCAUUUUGUUUCAGCAGAUCCUCUACAUAAAAUGAUCGCUCCCCAGAAGAAUCAUGUGAGGAAGUUUGACAAGAUAGAACAAAAUUGACCUUGGCGGAAAAAGGAGUUGAUCAUGAACAAGACCAUCCUCCAACAACAAAUUUCAGGUUUGUGCAAAUGGUAGCUGCAGAAGUUCAGUGCUGAAACUACAUAUAGACGCUACUAUGUCACACGGACUGCUGCACUUCAAGCCACGGAAGCUCAGAUCACAAUUCAAGAACUUUGCUACCACGGCAAUGGAGUACGGCAGCCAGCGAGCGCAAGGGCAUAUGCACACUUCUUAAACUGUAAUUCUGGUGAGCUAGCAGCUCGCUGAGGACCUCCAGUUGUACAAGGAAAAUUUGAGUACAUAAGCUUCAAUCUAUAACUGAUCGAGAAAGAAGAAGCAAAAUCAUACUGGAGGGUGCAGCAGCGCUCUAUUACUCACAGAAGUGAGCAGGCAACAAUUGGGUCAUUGCUUCAACUAGCUGGCCGGUCUCUGCCCAUAGGGGAUAGUGCAAAAUUUCGGAGAAACUGUCGAUUGAUCAAGGUGUCCUACCGUCGGCACCACGCUAGCAGGCCAGCUGGUGUGAAUACAGCCUAUGACAGUGCGACGGCCAUGGAUGGGAUGAUUAAGACCGACGAUGGAGAGUGGGAGGCAGCCUGCGGCCAAUGCAACAGGAGCGGUGGCCGGCAGCCGCGUAAGCUGCAGCCUGUUGGCAGGUUUAAGACGUUUUUUUUUUUCUUUUCGAA